GACGAACGCUGGCGGCGUGCUUAACACAUGCAAGUCGAACGGAAAGGCCCUGCUUUUGUGGGGUGCUCGAGUGGCGAACGGGUGAGUAACACGUGAGUAACCUGCCCUUGACUUUGGGAUAACUUCAGGAAACUGGGGCUAAUACCGGAUAGGAGCUCCUGCUGCAUGGUGGGGGUUGGAAAGUUUCGGCGGUUGGGGAUGGACUCGCGGCUUAUCAGCUUGUUGGUGGGAUAGUGGCUUACCAAGGCUUUGACGGGUAGCCGGCCUGAGAGGGUGACCGGCCACAUUGGGACUGAGAUACGGCCCAGACUCCUACGGGAGGCAGCAGUGGGGAAUAUUGCACAAUGGGCGGAAGCCUGAUGCAGCAACGCCGCGUGCGGGAUGACGGCCUUCGGGUUGUAAACCGCUUUCGCCUGUGACGAAGCGUGAGUGACGGUAAUGGGUAAAGAAGCACCGGCUAACUACGUGCCAGCAGCCGCGGUGAUACGUAGGGUGCGAGCGUUGUCCGGAUUUAUUGGGCGUAAAGGGCUCGUAGGUGGUUGAUCGCGUCGGAAGUGUAAUCUUGGGGCUUAACCCUGAGCGUGCUUUCGAUACGGGUUGACUUGAGGAAGGUAGGGGAGAAUGGAAUUCCUGGUGGAGCGGUGGAAUGCGCAGAUAUCAGGAGGAACACCAGUGGCGAAGGCGGUUCUCUGGGCCUUUCCUGACGUUGAGGAGCGAAAGCGUGGGGAGCGAACAGGCUUAGAUACCCUGGUAGUCCACGCUGUAAACGGUGGGUACUAGGUGUGGGGUCCAUUCCACGGGUCCCGUGCCGUAGCUAACGCUUUAAGUACCCCGCCUGGGGAGUACGGCCGCAAGGCUAAAACUCAAAGGAAUUGACGGGGCCCCGCACAAGCGGCGGAGCAUGCGGAUUAAUUCGAUGCAACGCGUAGAACCUUACCUGGGUUUGACAUGGAUCGGGAGUGCUCAGAGAUGGGUGUGCCUCUUUUGGGGUCGGUUCACAGGUGGUGCAUGGCUGUCGUCAGCUCGUGUCGUGAGAUGUUGGGUUAAGUCCCGCAACGAGCGCAACCCUUGUUCACUGUUGCCAGCACGUUAUGGUGGGGACUCAGUGGAGACCGCCGGGGUCAACUCGGAGGAAGGUGGGGAUGACGUCAAGUCAUCAUGCCCCUUAUGUCCAGGGCUUCACGCAUGCUACAAUGGCUGGUACAGAGAGUGGCGAGCCUGUGAGGGUGAGCGAAUCUCGGAAAGCCGGUCUCAGUUCGGAUUGGGGUCUGCAACUCGACCUCAUGAAGUCGGAGUCGCUAGUAAUCGCAGAUCAGCAACGCUGCGGUGAAUACGUUCCCGGG
RNAcentral lists this ribosomal RNA (1343 nucleotides) under uncultured bacterium. Its description in RNAcentral is "16S ribosomal RNA". It matches the Rfam family "Bacterial small subunit ribosomal RNA", at positions 28 to 1378 of the family's 1533-position model. The record is from RNAcentral.